GACGAACGCUGGCGGCGUGCUUAACACAUGCAAGUCGAACGGAAAGGCCCUGCUUUUGUGGGGUGCUCGAGUGGCGAACGGGUGAGUAACACGUGAGUAACCUGCCCUUGACUUUGGGAUAACUUCAGGAAACUGGGGCUAAUACCGGAUAGGAGCUCCUGCUGCGUGGUGGGGGUUGGAAAGUUUCGGCGGUUGGGGAUGGACUCGCGGCUUAUCAGCUUGUUGGUGGGGUAGUGGCUUACCAAGGCUUUGACGGGUAGCCGGCCUGAGAGGGUGACCGGCCACAUUGGGACUGAGAUACGGCCCAGACUCCUACGGGAGGCAGCAGUGGGGAAUAUUGCACAAUGGGCGGAAGCCUGAUGCAGCAACGCCGCGUGCGGGAUGACGGCCUUCGGGUUGUAAACCGCUUUCGCCUGUGACGAAGCGUGAGUGACGGUAAUGGGUAAAGAAGCGCCGGCUAACUACGUG
Molecule: ribosomal RNA, 468 nt
Filed under: uncultured bacterium
Lineage: Bacteria
Description: partial 16S ribosomal RNA
Rfam family: Bacterial small subunit ribosomal RNA
Source: RNAcentral